This 440-nucleotide ribosomal RNA is filed under the name uncultured bacterium. RNAcentral describes it as "partial 16S ribosomal RNA". It matches the Rfam family "Bacterial small subunit ribosomal RNA", at positions 338 to 795 of the family's 1533-position model. The record is from RNAcentral.
CCUACGGGAGGCAGCAGUGGGGAAUAUUGCACAAUGGGGGAAACCCUGAUGCAGCGACGCCGCGUGAGUGAGGAAGGAUUUCGGGAUGUAAAGCUCUAUCAGCAGGGAAGAAAAUGACGGUACCUGAGUAAGAAGCCGCGGCUCACUACGUGCCAGCAGCCGCGGUAAUACGUAGGGGGCAAGAGUUACCCGGAUUUACUGGGUGUAAAGGGAGCGUAGACGGCUAUUCAAGUAAGAAGGGAAAACCCAGGGCUCAACCUUGGGACUGCUUUUGAAACUUCGUAGCUAGAGUGCAGGAGAGGUAGGCGGAAUUCCUCGUGUAGCGGUGAAAUGCGUAGAUAUUAGGAGGAACACCAGUGGCGAAGGCGGCUUACUGGACUGUAACUGACGUUGAGGCUCGAAAGCGUGGGGAGCAAACAGGAUUAGAUACCCCAGUAGUC